This 498-nucleotide ribosomal RNA is filed under the name uncultured bacterium. RNAcentral describes it as "partial 16S ribosomal RNA". It matches the Rfam family "Bacterial small subunit ribosomal RNA", at positions 28 to 507 of the family's 1533-position model. The record is from RNAcentral.
GACGAACGCUGGCGGCGUGCCUAAUACAUGCAAGUCGAACGAGAGCGACCGGUGCUUGCACUGGUCAAUCAAGUGGCGAACGGGUGAGUACCACGUGUGUAACCUGCCCAUCAGAGGGGGAUAACAUCCGGAAACGGAUGCUAAAACCGCAUAGGUCUUCGAACCGCAUGGUUUGAAGAGGAAAACAGGCGCAAGCUUCUGCUGAUGGAUGGACCCGCGGUGCAUUAGCUAGUUGGUGAGGUAACGGCUCACCAAGGCCGUGAUGCAUAGCCGACCUGAGAGGGUGAUCGGCCACAUUGGGACUGAGACACGGCCCAAACUCCUACGGGAGGCAGCAGUAGGGAAUCUUGCGCAAUGGACGCAAGUCUGACGGAGCAACGCCGCGUGAGUGAAGAAGGUUUUCGGAUCGUAAAACUCUGUUGUUAGAGAAGAACAAGUGCUAGAGUAACUGUUAGCGUCUUGACGGUAUCUAACCAGAAAGCCACGGCUAACUACGUG